UCCUACGGGGGGCAGCAGUGAGGAAUAUUGGUCAAUGGGCGGAAGCCUGAACCAGCCAAGUCGCGUGAGGGAAUAAGGCCCUACGGGUCGUAAACCUCUUUUGCCGGGGAGCAAGGGCGGGGACGUGUCCCGGCCCGGAGAGUACCCGGAGAAAAAGCAUCGGCUAACUCCGUGCCAGCAGCCGCGGUAAUACGGAGGAUGCGAGCGUUAUCCGGAUUUAUUGGGUUUAAAGGGUGCGCAGGCGGUCUGUUAAGUCAGCGGUCAAAGCCCGGGGCUCAACCCCGGCCCGCCGUUGAAACUGGCAG
Molecule: ribosomal RNA, 305 nt
Filed under: uncultured bacterium
Lineage: Bacteria
Description: bacterial SSU rRNA
Rfam family: Bacterial small subunit ribosomal RNA
Source: RNAcentral